GUAGACUACUUCAGAGAAAAGAUUGAACCCUAACUUUCUCCUUCUUGGUUGAACGAUUGUGAUCCUCCUCCUCUGCUGGUACUGCUCAUCUUGGCGACCCUCCUCUAUCCGCCGGCGACUGCUUGUGCGACCCUCUUCUCUACGUUGCUGAGGCUAUUCUUCAAGAUUCCAUUCAGAACUCAAAUGAAGAACGUUAACACCAUCCAUGAUGAAAAAAAAUGAAGAAAUUUCUGCUAUUAAGAAGCAACAUAAAGAUGAAAUGACUGGUAUGAAGAGGUAGAUGGAUGGAUUAACAUUACUUGUAAGGAACAUGUUGAAGCUACAACACCCAAAUUUAGAUGAAGAAGAGAUCUCUAAUAUGAUGGAAGCUGCUCUUGGCAAUGAAAAUAGUGUAGCUCCGCAUCGACCUAUGUUCCUCCUCACGAAAAGAAUGAGGAGAAUGAUGAUUUUCAUGAAAAAGGAGAAGGAGAAGAAGAAGUAGAAGAAUAUUGAUUACUCUUGGAAUUGAUAGUAUUUUCUAAUAUUGAAAGAUUGUUUGGAACUUAGGAUGACAUCUUGAGAUUUUAUUUUGUUGGUGUUUAUGUUGAUUUUAACAUUGUCAUGAAUUGACUAGAAGCUGUCAAGUUGAACAGGAUUAGGCAUUGCUAUGAUUUGGUCUUAGUUUCAUGUGAUUCAGUUUUUUGUAUUGGCUCUAUCUCUUGAUAUUGGUUGAACUAAUCUUGGGCUUCUUUUAAAUGAAUUAACUUAUGAAGAAAAAGUUGAUUGUAA
Molecule: long non-coding RNA, 768 nt
Organism: Lotus japonicus
Lineage: Eukaryota; Viridiplantae; Streptophyta; Magnoliopsida; Fabales; Fabaceae
Exons: 3
Source: RefSeq, a predicted model, not a curated record